UACGUAGGGGGCGAGCGUUGUCCGGAUUUACUGGGCGUAAAGCGCGUGUAGGCGGGAGAUUAAGUUGGGUGUGAAAGCCCGGGGCUCAACCCCGGGAUGCCGCCCAAGACUGGUCUCCUUGAGGACGGAAGAGGGGAGUGGAAUUCCUGGUGUAGCGGUGAAAUGCGUAGAUAUCUGGAGGAACACCGGUGGCGAAGGCGGCAUCCUGGACCGGCAUUGACGCUGAUGAGCGAAAGCCAGGGGAGCAAACGGG
Molecule: ribosomal RNA, 253 nt
Filed under: uncultured bacterium
Lineage: Bacteria
Description: partial 16S ribosomal RNA
Rfam family: Bacterial small subunit ribosomal RNA
Source: RNAcentral